Molecule: ribosomal RNA, 253 nt
Filed under: uncultured bacterium
Lineage: Bacteria
Description: partial 16S ribosomal RNA
Rfam family: Bacterial small subunit ribosomal RNA
Source: RNAcentral
UACGGGGGGAGCAAGCGUUGUUCGGAAUUACUGGGCGUAAAGGGCUCGUAGGCGGCCAACUAAGUCAGACGUGAAAUCCCUCGGCUUAACCGGGGAACUGCGUCUGAUACUGGAUGGCUUGAAUCCGGGAGAGGGAUGCGGAAUUCCAGGUGUAGCGGUGAAAUGCGUAGAUAUCUGGAGGAACACCGGUGGCGAAGGCGGCAUCCUGGACCGGCAUUGACGCUGAGGAGCGAAAGCCAGGGGAGCAAACGGG